UACGGAGGGGGCAAGCGUUGUUCGGAAUCAUUGGGCGUAAAGAGUAUGUAGGCGGCUAUUUAAGUCAGACGUGUAAGCCCACGGCUCAACCGUGGAAUUGCGCUUGAAACUAUUUAGCUUGAGUACAGGAGAGGAAGGCGGAAUUCCCAGUGUAGCGGUGAAAUGCAUUGAUAUUGGGAAGAACACCGGUGGCGAAGGCGGCCUUCUGGUCUGAUACUGACGCUGAGAUACGAAAGCCAGGGGAGCGAACGGG
This 253-nucleotide ribosomal RNA is filed under the name uncultured bacterium. Its description in RNAcentral is "partial 16S ribosomal RNA". It matches the Rfam family "Bacterial small subunit ribosomal RNA", at positions 524 to 776 of the family's 1533-position model. The record is from RNAcentral.